UGGUUAAUCUCUACUUGCUU
RNAcentral lists this non-coding RNA (20 nucleotides) under Arabidopsis thaliana (thale cress). Lineage: Eukaryota; Viridiplantae; Streptophyta; Magnoliopsida; Brassicales; Brassicaceae. The record is from RNAcentral.